RNAcentral lists this long non-coding RNA (211 nucleotides) under Zostera marina. RNAcentral describes it as "long non-coding RNA (ZMAR_LNC004012)". Lineage: Eukaryota; Viridiplantae; Streptophyta; Magnoliopsida; Alismatales; Zosteraceae. The record is from RNAcentral.
UGGGAGAGUUUGUGAUACUCUUCCCUUGAAAUUUGACGACUUCUGGCCAAAGCGACAGAAGUGCCGGGAGAGUUUGUGAUACUCCCCCCUGAAGUGUGAUGAUUUCUGGCCGAAGCGACAGAAGUGUUAGGAGAGUUUGUAAAACUCUUCCCUGAAUUUUGACGACUUCUGGCCGAAGCGACAGAAGUGCCGGGAGAGCUUGUGAUACUCC